CGCGUAGGCGGUUCUUCAAGUCGGAUGUAAAAUCUCCCAGCUUAACUGGGAGGGACCAUUCGAUACUGCUGAACUAGAGGACAGCAGAGGAAGGUGGAAUUCCCGGUGGAGUGGUGAUAUGCGUAGAUAUCGGGAGGAACACCAGUGGCGAAGGCGGCCUUCUGGGCUGCACCUGACGCUGAGGCGCGAAAGCGUGGGGAGCGAACA
Molecule: ribosomal RNA, 207 nt
Filed under: uncultured bacterium
Lineage: Bacteria
Description: partial 16S ribosomal RNA
Rfam family: Bacterial small subunit ribosomal RNA
Source: RNAcentral